RNAcentral lists this long non-coding RNA (4185 nucleotides) under Anas platyrhynchos (mallard). RNAcentral's name for it is "lncRNA (ENSAPLG00020013696.1)". The record is from RNAcentral. Lineage: Eukaryota; Metazoa; Chordata; Aves; Anseriformes; Anatidae.
CUGAGGUCACUGCUAAACGCUUUCGCUCGCCGAGAGGCAGAGGGUGAAAAUGGGCUUUAAUUAGCCUUCCCAAAAACAUCCUUACUCCAGCAAAUCUUCUGGCUGCUGCUGGUGUGCAGAGGACGUUAAAGCACACGGCGGCAUCGCCAACCGCGGUGCCUGAAAUGUGAAUUUGUCGUCUGCUUCCACUGGAGGGGAAAGGAGGAAAAAAAAAAAAAAAGCCCAUGCACACCAUAAAACCCCUCCACCUGAAAACAACAGCCGGUUCCCUGGAGCAAGCCCGCGGUGGAGCAGCCAGCUGGAUUUUUUUCUUGCUUGAUGUCCCCGCCAACAUCUGGGGCCAGCUCUGAAAUCGCAUCCUGGAUGCAAAACCACCCGGUGCUUGCACGGCGCUGAUAAUGCAGCCGGCUGCAUCCCAAACCGCUGCUGGGGGCGUUCCAGGAGGAAUUUAUGCCUCUCUGCCUCGGACAGGACAGGGAUUUCCCUCACCUCCAGCCCAAUAAUGCACUGCCCUGCUGGGAGGUGUCAGUGCCUGAGAUGUGCACAGCUCCCGUGCAUGGGCAGGGAUUUGAUUCAGAUCUCCAAAAUGUGCCACUGAGGCUGUGUUCAGCAUGAUUUCGGCCACAGAGGUGUGGGAUGAAUCUCUUCAUCCGCAGCACUGUCUUGCCCAAGCAGGAUCCUGGCCGUGCAGCAGCCCCAGCGCUAUCAGGCAGAGUGGUGCUGGCCCUGGACAGCCUCCAAGCCACCAUCUAAUUCGGGAAGAGAAAGCAUCCCUGCUGCUAAUGGAAGAGGUCACCUUCUCACCCAGAAGCAGCCUUGCUGCUGUGCACAGAUGAUUUCUGCAGGGUGUAAAGCUUCCUGUUCCAGGGCCGGGGGCGCUUUCCCCCACAGACAUGGGAAACUGAGGCACGGGCAAGAGCCACAACCCCAGGAUGAGCCUGGGAGCCAGCUGCUCACUGCCAUCCCUCUCCCACCCAGGGAUGUCCCGGUGCCAUGAGGACUGUGAAAAUACUCAGGUUUGUGCUUUUUACAGCCCUGUGGCUCUGAAGGAGAGGUACUGGAGCUCCAGAGAGGGGGAGGAGACGGUGGCCAUGUCCCUGGUACUCUGCUGCUGCCUGGGUCGUGGAAGCUGGGAAAUCCAGACAGACACAUUUCCCCCCCAGCAGCUCCUGCUGGAUGCGGGAGAGAUGAGGAGCCCCCACUCAGCCUCUCCCAGCAUCGAAACAGUGAGUGCUCAAUUCAUCGCCCAGCUUAGGGACAGGAAAACGUGUAAAACUCCAGUUAUUGGUUUUGGGCACAAAGAAAUAUUUCCAUUUUCCGCCCGCCUUUAAUUAGGAUGCUUUUCGCUUGCCCAGCUCGCAGCCCGUAUUUGUCCACCCCAUUACCACUGCGCUGCUCUGCGCGAGCCGCAGGCUUCUCCAGAAAUCUCCUGGAUCUCCUUCCCGAUUAGUGAUGAAGGCACCGACACACCGAGGGCGUGCUACCAGCCGGCAGUGCCCAGCAGUGAUAAUCUCCUCUGAUAACUGCCUUUGAAAUGGAUCGGGUUUAUUCAAUACAGGCUUUCUCAAUGCUGCGUAAUGCCAGCUCUAAAUACUGGACUGAUUUUUUUUAAUACUGCAGAGUGCAGAUUUCUAUACGAAUAUCACAUCACAUAACUCAAACGCUGCAUAAAAGUGUGUUACAUCCAGAGUCACCUCUCUUGUCAGAGAAUGAAAUCGUUUCUACUCGCCAGGAGUUAUUUUCCACGCGGCCACAGUUGGGUGGCAGGAAUUUCUUCCUGGUGCUCAAGCCUUUAAUCAAUCCAAGCCCGAGCUAGGUUUCUCCUCCUCCUCCUCCCCGGGGGGAUGAUAUCAAGCCAAUCAACCUGUAGCUACCAGGUCAUCUUACUGCCUCCUGGGAAGAGCAGCAGCACCAUUAAAGCACUUUUUAAUCUGCUGGAAUUUCCCCAGGGCUCGCCCCAAGGCAGAGGCAGCUCCACGCGGCUGCAGAUGGGCAGCGAGAUUUCAGCUGUGACCAUCCCAGAAAAGCUAUUUGCUCAGAUCCCUAUUUGAAAAUUUCCCUUUUUUUUUUCUUUUUUUUUUCUUUUUUUCUUUUUAACGGAAACCGCUCGGAUUCGCAGCUUUGGUAUAAUGGAAACGACCGCAGCUCGGAUGCUGCCAGCGGAGGGAGAGGCCGCCCCGGCACUGCAAUGUGGAACAAAUUAUAACUCGGAGAGCAAAGGAAAUGAGAACACCCUGGCCUCAGCCGUGUUGGCGUGCGCUGCUCGGCUUCAAACCCUGCCCUCUGCAGAUCCCUACAGCCCGGUCCCUCUGCAGCCCUCCCCAAAUACCCCCGUGCGCCCGCUCUCCCAAAAAAGCUGGACCACAUCUCUGCUCCGCUGCCCGGCCCUUUGUCGUGUGAGCUUUAUCUGGCAGACGUGGGGACAGGCCAGGGGCUGAUCGUCUCAGUGCCAGCCUCGCCGCUGUCUUUAGCCGGAUCAGAGCGGGUAAACUCCUUAUUGUGUUAUUAUUAGCAGCAGCAGCACCACGGUUGUGCCCUGGACCCCCGGCCCAGAGGCUGCUCCAACAGGAUAUCGAGGCAGACCUGGCCCUGCAAAGAUUAACUAACAGGUUUUUGUUUUUGUUUUUUUUUUUUUUUUUUUCCCAAAAGCAGCAACGGCUUCACAAAUAGAUUAUAACGAUUUGAGACCUAGCUCUGCUAGGACAACAGGAGGCCUUUUAGCAGGGUUUAUUUUUUCCUUGCCUUUUUCUUUUUUUUUUUGGAAUCAUUAUUUCGCAGGUCUUUUUGAGCUGCCAGCGUGCACCAGCUCUCCAGUCGGGCGCAAGUACAGAUGCCAGCCCUCUGCCCGUGCAGCUCUAUUCACACGCGUGCACAAGAAACAUUUUACAAAAUACAUUUGCUUUCUGCUGCCUCCUGAGCAGCCGAGCCUCGGUAGGCUGCCUAAUUACGAGAUCUUAGCAAUAAUUUAUUUUUUUUUCUUUCCCCAGUGAUAAUUAACUGAUCCUGGAGAGCGCCGAAAAUAAGCACUUCCCAAGCAAGUAGCAAACUCCCCGGAGUUUUCCCUGCUAAAGUUACAGCUGAGCAAGAAACUGCUCCGGCCUCGUGGGGAUGUGGCUGACCCCAAAACCUCUCUGCCAAGGAUGCCAGAGCAGCCAGAGCAGCCAAAGGCAGGUGGGAUGGCACCCAUAGGUGCGUGAGGGGGGGCAACAGAGAUGGGACACCAAGCAGGGGUGCAUGCAAUGGGGAAAGGACCCCAAAGGGCAUGGAAAGGAGAGGCAGAUCCCAUGGGGGUGCAGUGGGGCAGGGUUCCUGAGGGGCAGGUGGGGGGAUGAGGGUGCCAAGGGGGGGUGUUAGGGUAAGGGCCAGGGCACAGUCUCCUGGCAGUGCCCUCCCUGAGGCCGGAGAGGUGCUGGAGAGGUGUGCAGGGCAGCGCUGGUCUCCAGUGGCAACAAGACAAGCCUCAACUCUCAGUGCUUUCCUCCUGCCUCUACUUCCAUGGGCGACAAACCCAAACAGCCCCUCCGAGCAGGCAGGGAGGGGUUGGGGAGGUUUGGGGGGGUCCCACCAGGUGCAUCCCGCAGGGCCAAGAGAGGGGAUCUGCGCCUGUGCGCGGUGUGCGUGCCAGGAGGUGCUACCCCAAAAAUAAAGAUUACUAAGUAAAAGGGCUGGGGAAGAAUAAAAAUGGGGGGGGGGAAAAAAAAAGAGAGAGAGAGAGAAUAAAAAAAAAAAAAUGAAAAGGGGAUAAACAAAUUAAAAAGGGAAUUAAAAAAAAAAAAAGAGAGAGAGAGAAAGAAGAAAGGGGGAAAUAAAUGAAAAAUGGGGAAAUGAAAAAAUAAAAAUUAGAAUAAAAAAUGAAAAAAGGGGGGAAUAAAUAAUGGAAAAAGGAAAAUAAAUGAAAAAAUUAAAUAAAUUAAAAGGGAAUAAAAAGAAAUCAAAAAAGAAAAAAAAAGAAAAGAGGGGGAAAAAUGAAAAAGGGGGAAAUAAAAAUGGCAAAGGGGGGAUUUUUUUAAUUUAUGUUUUUUUAAGGGGGAAAUAAGAACCCAAACCCGAGGGGCACGGCCUCGCUACCCCCCCCCCCCCCCCGUGUACCCCCCCCUCCUUCCCCCGGCAGGUACUCACCCGGAGCUCGGCGCGGCCCCGGCGGCUGCAGCGCCCGGAGCCGCCGGGGCUGUGCGGGGCCGUGCG